RNAcentral lists this transfer RNA (83 nucleotides) under Patescibacteria group bacterium. RNAcentral's name for it is "tRNA-Tyr". It matches the Rfam family "tRNA". Rfam says of the family: Transfer RNA (tRNA) molecules are approximately 80 nucleotides in length. Their secondary structure includes four short double-helical elements and three loops (D, anti-codon, and T loops). Further hydrogen bonds mediate the characteristic L-shaped molecular structure. tRNAs have two regions of fundamental functional importance: the anti-codon, which is responsible for specific mRNA codon recognition, and the 3' end, to which the tRNAs corresponding amino acid is attached (by aminoacyl-tRNA synthetases). tRNAs cope with the degeneracy of the genetic code in two manners: having more than one tRNA (with a specific anti-codon) for a particular amino acid; and 'wobble' base-pairing, i.e. permitting non-standard base-pairing at the 3rd anti-codon position. The record is from RNAcentral.
GGGCAGGUACCGAAGCGGUCAAACGGGGCUGACUGUAAAUCAGCUGGCAUUCGCCUUCGGGGGUUCGAUUCCCUCCCUGCCCA